CCUACGGGUGGCUGCAGUGGGGAAUAUUGGACAAUGGGCGAAAGCCUGAUCCAGCCAUGCCGCGUGUGUGAAGAAGGCCUUCGGGUUGUAAAGCACUUUCAGUGGGGAAGAAAGCCUUGGGACUAAUACCCUCGAGGAAGGACAUCACCCACAGAAGAAGCACCGGCUAACUCCGUGCCAGCAGCCGCGGUAAUACGGAGGGUGCGAGCGUUAAUCGGAAUUACUGGGCGUAAAGCGCGCGUAGGCGGUCUGAUAAGCCGGUUGUGAAAGCCCCGGGCUCAACCUGGGAACGGCAUCCGGAACUGUCAGGCUAGAGUGCAGGAGAGGAAGGUAGAAUUCCCGGUGUAGCGGUGAAAUGCGUAGAGAUCGGGAGGAAUACCAGUGGCGAAGGCGGCCUUCUGGACUGACACUGACGCUGAGGUGCGAAAGCGUGGGUAGCAAACAGGAUUAGAUACCCCUGUAGUC
RNAcentral lists this ribosomal RNA (465 nucleotides) under Vreelandella stevensii. RNAcentral's name for it is "partial 16S ribosomal RNA". It matches the Rfam family "Bacterial small subunit ribosomal RNA", at positions 338 to 795 of the family's 1533-position model. Lineage: Bacteria; Pseudomonadati; Pseudomonadota; Gammaproteobacteria; Oceanospirillales; Halomonadaceae. The record is from RNAcentral.